Molecule: ribosomal RNA, 274 nt
Filed under: uncultured bacterium
Lineage: Bacteria
Description: partial 16S ribosomal RNA
Rfam family: Bacterial small subunit ribosomal RNA
Source: RNAcentral
AUACGGAGAGUGCGAGCGUUGUUCGGAAUCACUGGGCUUAAAGCGCGUGUAGGCGGGACGGUAAGUGCCGGGUGAAAGCCCUCGGCUCAACCGAGGAAUGGCCCGGCAUACUGUCGUCCUUGAGGCAGGUAGAGGUGGCUGGAACGACUGGUGGAGCGGUGAAAUGCGUAGAUAUCAGUCGGAACGCCGGAGGCGAAAGCGGGCCACUGGGCCUGUCCUGACGCUGAGACGCUAAAGCGUGGGGAGCGAACAGGAUUAGAUACCCUAGUAGUCC